GUCUUCAGAUUCUUCUAGCAGCAUAUGCAUACGAUCUCUACGAGUAUCCACAUAAAAUCUGAUCAGAUCAACCUUUCUAGAAUGCUAACUCCUUGCAGAGACUCUUGAUGGCUGAUCUCUAGAGGAAGAAAAGAUUUGUGGAAGAAGGCAAGGGAGAACUCUUUCUUUCUUGUUUUUUCUCUCAUUCAAAACCCUAGCACC
This 201-nucleotide long non-coding RNA is filed under the name Elaeis guineensis (African oil palm). RNAcentral's name for it is "long non-coding RNA (EGUI_LNC036602)". Lineage: Eukaryota; Viridiplantae; Streptophyta; Magnoliopsida; Arecales; Arecaceae. The record is from RNAcentral.